GACGAACGCUGGCGGCGUGCUUAACACAUGCAAGUCGAACGGAAAGGCCUCUUUCGGGGGGUACUCGAGUGGCGAACGGGUGAGUAACACGUGAGUAACCUGCCCUUGACUUUGGGAUAACUUCAGGAAACUGGGGCUAAUACCGGAUAGGAGCUCCUGCUGCAUGGUGGGGGUUGGAAAGUUUCGGCGGUUGGGGAUGGACUCGCGGCUUAUCAGCUUGUUGGUGGGGUAGUGGCUUACCAAGGCUUUGACGGGUAGCCGGCCUGAGAGGGUGACCGGCCACAUUGGGACUGAGAGACGGCCCAGACUCCUACGGGAGGCAGCAGUGGGGAAUACUGCACAAUGGGUGGAAGCCUGAUGCAGCAACGCCGUGUGCGGGAUGACGGCCUUCGGGUUGUAAACCGCUUUCGCUCAUGACGAAGCUUUGUGUGACGGUAGUGGGUAAAGAAGCACCGGCUAACUACGUG
Molecule: ribosomal RNA, 467 nt
Filed under: uncultured bacterium
Lineage: Bacteria
Description: partial 16S ribosomal RNA
Rfam family: Bacterial small subunit ribosomal RNA
Source: RNAcentral